GUCUAGAUAGUAUAGUGGUUAGUACUUCGCAUUGUGGUUGCGAAAACCGGGGUUCGAUUCCCCGUCUGGACA
Non-coding RNA from Fragilaria crotonensis, 72 nucleotides. NCBI's taxonomy places the organism in Eukaryota, Bacillariophyta, Fragilariophyceae, Fragilariales, Fragilariaceae. The record is from the annotation of a GenBank genome assembly.